UACAGAGGUCUCAAGCGUUGUUCGGAUUCAUUGGGCGUAAAGGGUGCGUAGGCGGCGCGGUAAGUCGGGUGUGAAAUCUCGGGGCUUAACUCCGAAACUGCAUUCGAUACUGCCGUGCUUGAGGACUGGAGAGGAGACUGGAAUUUACGGUGUAGCGGUGAAAUGCGUAGAUAUCGUAAGGAAGACCAGUGGCGAAGGCGGGUCUCUGGACAGUUCCUGACGCUGAUGUGCGAAAGCUAGGGGAGCGAACGGG
RNAcentral lists this ribosomal RNA (253 nucleotides) under uncultured bacterium. RNAcentral describes it as "partial 16S ribosomal RNA". It matches the Rfam family "Bacterial small subunit ribosomal RNA", at positions 524 to 776 of the family's 1533-position model. The record is from RNAcentral.